ACGACGCUGGCGGCGUGCUUAACACAUGCAAGUCGAACGGUGACCCAGGGCUUGCCCUGGUGAUCAGUGGCGAACGGGUGAGUAACACGUGGGCAACCUGCCCCUGACUUCGGGAUAACUCCUCGAAAGAGGAGCUAAUACCGGAUACGACCACUUCGGACAUCCGAUGGUGGUGGAAAGUUUUUCGGUCAGGGAUGGGCCCGCGGCCUAUCAGCUAGUUGGUGGGGUAAUGGCCUACCAAGGCGACGACGGGUAGCCGGCCUGAGAGGGCGACCGGCCACACUGGGACUGAGACACGGCCCAGACUCCUACGGGAGGCAGCAGUGGGGAAUAUUGCGCAAUGGGCGAAAGCCUGACGCAGCGACGCCGCGUGAGGGAUGAAGGCCUUCGGGUUGUAAACCUCUUUCAGCAGGGACGAAGCGAAAGUGACGGUACCUGCAGAAGAAGCACCAGCUAACUACGUG
This 464-nucleotide ribosomal RNA is filed under the name uncultured bacterium. Its description in RNAcentral is "bacterial SSU rRNA". It matches the Rfam family "Bacterial small subunit ribosomal RNA", at positions 33 to 507 of the family's 1533-position model. The record is from RNAcentral.